GUAUGUACCUGGCAGAGGAGAUACCAUGAUCACGAAGGUGUUGUUCCCAGGGUGAGGCUUAUCCAUGCAUUCUGGAUGUGCUGACCCCUGCGAUUUCCCCAAAUGUGGGCAAGUUGAGUGCAUAGUUUGUGGUAUGGGGGGACAUUUUGUUUAUCCCCUCG
Molossus molossus (Pallas's mastiff bat) is the source of this 161-nucleotide small nuclear RNA. RefSeq annotates it as U1 spliceosomal RNA. NCBI's taxonomy places the organism in Eukaryota, Metazoa, Chordata, Mammalia, Chiroptera, Molossidae. The record is from RefSeq and is a predicted model, not a curated record. The transcript has a single exon.